This 76-nucleotide transfer RNA is filed under the name Sphingobium sp. RNAcentral describes it as "tRNA-Trp". It matches the Rfam family "tRNA". From Rfam's summary of the family: Transfer RNA (tRNA) molecules are approximately 80 nucleotides in length. Their secondary structure includes four short double-helical elements and three loops (D, anti-codon, and T loops). The record is from RNAcentral. Lineage: Bacteria; Pseudomonadati; Pseudomonadota; Alphaproteobacteria; Sphingomonadales; Sphingobiaceae.
AGGAGUGUAGCUCAGUUGGUAGAGCGUCGGUCUCCAAAACCGAAUGUCGUGGGUUCGAGUCCCUCCACUCCUGCCA